GCUUUUGCCAACAGUCUCCAAAGCAGUCCCAAGUAGUGUAAAACAGAAGGCAGAAGUUCAUCAAGAACAUCUUUGCUAUUGCAGUAAAAAAGAGAGUAGAGGAGAUGGACACAAAAGAUGUGGACCACUGAUGAUGAGAAAGCAACUAAGGCGGCAACUUUUAAAAUAAUUUCACUCUAUAAUGGAAGGAGUUUAACAUUACCUACGUGGGGAUGGGAAAUAAUAAAUAAAUAUUUU
Long non-coding RNA from Manacus vitellinus (golden-collared manakin), 237 nucleotides. RefSeq lists it as uncharacterized. Lineage: Eukaryota; Metazoa; Chordata; Aves; Passeriformes; Pipridae. The record is from RefSeq and is a predicted model, not a curated record. The transcript has 3 exons.